CUUAGUGGCGGACGGGUGAGUAACGCGUGAGAAUCUGCCUUCAGGACGGAGACAACAGUUGGAAACGACUGCUAAGCCCCGAUGUACCGAAAGGGAAAAUAUUUAUAGCCUGAAGAUGAGCUCGCGUCCGAUUAGCUAGUUGGCGGAGUAAAGCCCACCAAGGCGACGAUCGGUAGCUGGUCUGAGAGGACGAUCAGCCACACUGGGACUGAGACACGGCCCAG
This 224-nucleotide ribosomal RNA is filed under the name uncultured bacterium. RNAcentral's name for it is "partial 16S ribosomal RNA". It matches the Rfam family "Bacterial small subunit ribosomal RNA", at positions 91 to 334 of the family's 1533-position model. The record is from RNAcentral.